AACAAGAGCGAAACUCCAUCUCAAAAAAAAAAAAAGAAAAGAAAAAAGAAGAGAGAGAUUCUACAGAGACAUAUUGGAGCUCGCUCAAAUGUGAGCCACCAGAUAAGGGCUGCUGGAAGGAGGCGAAGAAAGAUGACUCAGAACAUGACAUCUGUCUUCAUGUGAAAGAAUGGGUAGAACUGAUGUGGCACUACGAAUUAUCUGUAGGGCAAAGGACUGGAAGUUAAUUGAAGAUAGAUUUUAAUUCAAAACAAGGAUCAGUUCUUUAAGAGUCUGAAGAAGGGUUAUUUUAGGAAGUAGCUGCCUCUGCCCCCUUCCCACCUGUUGCAGUGGAUCAAAUAUACACUGAAUCACUACCUCAUUCAUUCAACACUCAUUUCAUGAAGGCUUAACGCAUUGCUGUGGGGCUUACUCUGCCGCCGACCUGGGGCCUAGCUAGGCUUUGUAGUCUAUAUAGUCUCAUAGUCCUGCAAACUGGCUCCAGCCCAGGAAAUCACCCUGUGUAGGAGUGGCUGCAGUCAAGACGCAGGAAGACAAUCCUGAGGGGACCUGACAUCCAGCAUCUGAGUUCAGACUACUAUAGUUUGAAUAAGUGACCUGCAGAUUCAUUACACACAAGGGAACAUGUCUUCCUUUUGUUGGAUUGAACUCUGUGAUACCAAGCAGUCAAAACUACCUGUCAGAUGUCCAAUCCCUGAUCCAGAAUUUCAAGGAGCUGUGGAGGCAGCUGUACAAUGGGAGUGUCAUAAACCAGAGAACUUUGUGUCCAGGCUAUGUCUAUUAGGUGAGUAUAUGGUGAGAAGGCAGCUGUCUGUGAACCAGAAGGAGGGCCCUCACCAAGAAGUGACCAUGCUGGCACCCUGAUCUUGGACUUCUGGCAUCUGGAACUAUCUAGCUAGUUUAAAGAUGAAAACUGCAGCAGAUGAGAAAGAAAAAUACAACUGGAAAACUUGGAUGAAUUAGAAACACUAAACAGUUUUCAGGAAAGCUGAGUAUCAGAGAAAAACAGAUGCUGGAGGAAAAGAAAAAAAGAGGACACAAAAACUGUCCUGGCCAAAGGGGUCAUGACCACACAUUAUCCUUGGAUGAGGGCUUCCUUUAUGGUGACAAUUGAACAGAAGCAUUUAGAGCAGAUUACAAUGCAUAUUAUACGUACAAUGAAAUCAUUGAAACAGAAAAAAGAGCCAAAAUUGAUGUCUUUGCCUUAAAUCUUGCUUCUUUCUAGUUUAUUCUCUCCACAGUGGUCGGGGCAGUCUGAGAGAAUACGGUGGAAUCGAUGGUAUGCGACUUCCAAGGUUAGGUCAUAAAAGACAUUGAAGUUUCUGCUUUGUCUCUUGAAUCACUUUCUCUGGGGGAAACCAGCUACUGGGUCAUAAGGACACUCAAGCAGCACCAUGGAGGGGCCCAAGUGGAGAGAAACCAACUUGCCAGCAUUAACUUGGUAGUUGUGCAGCCAUGUGAAUGAGUGGAUCCUACCAUCCUAGUCAAACCUCUGAUAACUGAAGGUCCCACCUAUAUUUGACUGCAGUCUUCCAACAGACCCCACCCAAGCUGCUCUAGGAUUCCUGACCUACAGAAACUGUGAGGGAUAAGAUAUGCUUGUUGUUUUAACCCACUAAGUUUUAGAGUGAUUUGUUACACAGCAAUAUACAACAAAUACACAAGUCAUCACAGAAAGUUUGCUUGCUUUCAAGCCUGGAACGCCUGGGACCUUCAGUGAACCUCUUCCUCAGAUACAUGCCUGCGUAGUGUCAACUUGCUCUAUUGCUGGGAAGUGCUUGGCUGAUUAUCUUCUUCCUGCCCUGGGAGAUGUCUCACUAAUCAUUCAUUCAUUCAGCAAACAUUACAACGUUCCAGGCACUGUGCUAACUACUGAAUAUUCAGUGAUAUAGGAUAAAAUCUCUGUCCUAAAGUUGCUUGCAGUCAGAUGGGAGAAAAGCAAGUAAAUACAACAAUUUGUGAGCUUUAAAAAAGACCUAUAACAUCUUGUGAAGGAGGGGCAGAACUUAUCAUCCUCAACUAACAUAGAGAAAAUUGUCUCAUAGAGCAGGAGCUGAUAGCCCUUGGCUUUCUGGAUGGAGGAGACAGCAAUGGAGUGGAGGGAUUUCUCAGGAAUCUCCCCCAGGGGCUGCUCUAC
This 2137-nucleotide long non-coding RNA is filed under the name Homo sapiens (human). Its description in RNAcentral is "HSALNT0295455". The record is from RNAcentral. Lineage: Eukaryota; Metazoa; Chordata; Mammalia; Primates; Hominidae.